This 467-nucleotide ribosomal RNA is filed under the name uncultured bacterium. Its description in RNAcentral is "bacterial SSU rRNA". It matches the Rfam family "Bacterial small subunit ribosomal RNA", at positions 29 to 524 of the family's 1533-position model. The record is from RNAcentral.
AACGAACGCUGGCGGCAGGCCUAACACAUGCAAGUCGAACGAGUAAGAGCCGUAGCAAUACGGAGUUCUACUAGUGGCGCACGGGUGAGUAACGCGUGGGAACGUGCCUUGGAGUUCGGGAUAACAGUUGGAAACGACUGCUAAUACCGAAUAUUCCCUCAGGGGGAAAGAUUUAUCGCUCCAAGAUCGGCCCGCGUAAGAUUAGGUAGUUGGUGGGGUAAUGGCCUACCAAGCCUACGAUCUUUAGCUGGUCUGAGAGGACGACCAGCCACACUGGAACUGAGACACGGUCCAGACUCCUACGGGAGGCAGCAGUGGGGGAAUAUUGGACAAUGGGCGAAAGCCUGAUCCAGCCAUGCCGCGUGAAUGAUGAAGGCCUUAGGGUUGUAAAAUUCUUUUGCAGGGAAGAUAAUGACGGUACCCUGCGAAUAAGCUCCGGCUAACUUCGUGCCAGCAGCCGCGGUAAU